GACGAACGCUGGCGGCGUGCCUAACACAUGCAAGUCGAACGGAGAUUUUAUUUAUGAAAUCUUAGUGGCGAACGGGUGGGUAACGCGUAGACAACCUGCCUUUUAGAUGGGGACAACACCGCGAAAGUGGUGCUAAUACCGAAUGUUGUAUUUUGGUCGCAUGAUUGAGAUACUAAAGAUGGCCUCUAUUUAUAAGCUAUCACUAAAAGAUGGGUCUGCGUCUGAUUAGCCAGUUGGUGAGGUAAUGGCUCACCAAGGCGACGAUCAGUAGCCGGUCUGAGAGGAUGAACGGCCACACUGGGACUGAGACACGGCCCAGACUCCUACGGGAGGCAGCAGUGGGGAAUCUUCCGCAAUGGACGAAAGUCUGACGGAGCAACGCCGCGUGAGUGAAGAAGGUUUUCGGAUCGUAAAACUAUGUUUUCAGGGACGAAUGUGCGAUGUGUAAAUAAUGCAUUGUAAUGACGGUACCUGAGUAGAAAGCCACGGCUAACUACGUGCCAGCAGCCGCGGUAA
RNAcentral lists this ribosomal RNA (516 nucleotides) under uncultured bacterium. Its description in RNAcentral is "partial 16S ribosomal RNA". It matches the Rfam family "Bacterial small subunit ribosomal RNA", at positions 28 to 523 of the family's 1533-position model. The record is from RNAcentral.